GACGAACGCUGGCGGCGUGCUUAACACAUGCAAGUCGAACGGAAAGGCCCUGCUUUUGUGGGGUUCUCGAGUGGCGAACGGGUGAGUAACACGUGAGUAACCUGCCCUUGACUUUGGGAUAACUUCAGGAAACUGGGGCUAAUACCGGAUAGGAGCUCCUGCUGCAUGGUGGGGGUUGGAAAGUUUCGGCGGUUGGGGAUGGACGCGCGGCUUAUCAGCUUGUUGGUGGGGUAGUGGCUUACCAAGGCUUUGACGGGUAGCCGGCCUGAGAGGGUGACCGGCCACAUUGGGACUGAGAUACGGCCCAGACUCCUACGGGAGGCAGCAGUGGGGAAUAUUGCACAAUGGGCGGAAGCCUGAUGCAGCAACGCCGCGUGCGGGAUGACGGCCUUCGGGUUGUAAACCGCUUUCGCCUGUGACGAAGCGUGAGUGACGGUAAUGGGUAAAGAAGCACCGGCUAACUACGUG
This 468-nucleotide ribosomal RNA is filed under the name uncultured bacterium. Its description in RNAcentral is "partial 16S ribosomal RNA". It matches the Rfam family "Bacterial small subunit ribosomal RNA", at positions 28 to 507 of the family's 1533-position model. The record is from RNAcentral.